Molecule: ribosomal RNA, 1597 nt
Filed under: Enterococcus faecalis
Lineage: Bacteria; Bacillati; Bacillota; Bacilli; Lactobacillales; Enterococcaceae
Description: partial 23S ribosomal RNA
Rfam family: Bacterial large subunit ribosomal RNA
Source: RNAcentral
UCUCUCUUGAGUGGAUCCUGAGUACGACGGAGCACGUGAAAUUCCGUCGGAAUCUGGGAGGACCAUCUCCUAAGGCUAAAUACUCUCUAGUGACCGAUAGUGAACCAGUACCGUGAGGGAAAGGUGAAAAGUACCCCGGAAGGGGAGUGAAAGAGAACUUGAAACCGUGUGCUUACAAGUAGUCAGAGCCCGUUAAUGGGUGAUGGCGUGCCUUUUGUAGAAUGAACCGGCGAGUUACGAUCUGAUGCAAGGUUAAGCAGCAAAUGUGGAGCCGCAGCGAAAGCGAGUCUGAAUAGGGCGUUGAGUAUUUGGUCGUAGACCCGAAACCAGGUGAUCUACCCUUGGUCAGGUUGAAGUUCAGGUAACACUGAAUGGAGGACCGAACCGACUUACGUUGAAAAGUGAGCGGAUGAACUGAGGGUAGCGGAGAAAUUCCAAUCGAACUUGGAGAUAGCUGGUUCUCUCCGAAAUAGCUUUAGGGCUAGCCUCAAGUGAUGAUUAUUGGAGGUAGAGCACUGUUUGGACGAGGGGCCCCUCUCGGGUUACCGAAUUCAGACAAACUCCGAAUGCCAAUUAAUUUAACUUGGGAGUCAGAACAUGGGUGAUAAGGUCCGUGUUCGAAAGGGAAACAGCCCAGACCACCAGCUAAGGUCCCAAAAUAUAUGUUAAGUGGAAAAGGAUGUGGCGUUGCCCAGACAACUAGGAUGUUGGCUUAGAAGCAGCCAUCAUUUAAAGAGUGCGUAAUAGCUCACUAGUCGAGUGACACUGCGCCGAAAAUGUACCGGGGCUAAACAUAUUACCGAAGCUGUGGAUUGUCCUUUGGACAAUGGUAGGAGAGCGUUCUAAGGGCGUCGAAGCAUGAUCGCAAGGACAUGUGGAGCGCUUAGAAGUGAGAAUGCCGGUGUGAGUAGCGAAAGACGGGUGAGAAUCCCGUCCACCGAUUGACUAAGGUUUCCAGAGGAAGGCUCGUCCGCUCUGGGUUAGUCGGGUCCUAAGCUGAGGCCGACAGGCGUAGGCGAUGGAUAACAGGUUGAUAUUCCUGUACCACCUAUAAUCGUUUUAAUCGAUGGGGGGACGCAGUAGGAUAGGCGAAGCGUGCGAUUGGAUUGCACGUCUAAGCAGUAAGGCUGAGUAUUAGGCAAAUCCGGUACUCGUUAAGGCUGAGCUGUGAUGGGGAGAAGACAUUGUGUCUUCGAGUCGUUGAUUUCACACUGCCGAGAAAAGCCUCUAGAUAGAAAAUAGGUGCCCGUACCGCAAACCGACACAGGUAGUCAAGAUGAGAAUUCUAAGGUGAGCGAGCGAACUCUCGUUAAGGAACUCGGCAAAAUGACCCCGUAACUUAGGGUUCACGCCCAGAAGAGCCGCAGUGAAUAGGCCCAAGCGACUGUUUAUCAAAAACACAGGUCUCUGCUAAACCGUAAGGUGAUGUAUAGGGGCUGACGCCUGCCCGGUGCUGGAAGGUUAAGAGGAGUGGUUAGCUUCUGCGAAGCUACGAAUCGAAGCCCCAGUAAACGGCGGCCGUAACUAUAACGGUCCUAAGGUAGCGAAAUUCCUUGUCGGGUAAGUUCCGACCCGCACGAAAGGCGUAACGAUUUGG